RNAcentral lists this ribosomal RNA (427 nucleotides) under uncultured Acidobacterium sp. RNAcentral describes it as "bacterial SSU rRNA". It matches the Rfam family "Bacterial small subunit ribosomal RNA", at positions 958 to 1385 of the family's 1533-position model. The record is from RNAcentral. Lineage: Bacteria; Pseudomonadati; Acidobacteriota; Terriglobia; Terriglobales; Acidobacteriaceae.
AACGCGAAGAACCUUACCUGGGCUCGAAAUGUAGUGGACCGGGGUAGAAAUAUCCCUUUCUAGCAAUAGACUGCUAUAUAGGUGCUGCAUGGCUGUCGUCAGCUCGUGUCGUGAGAUGUUGGGUUAAGUCCCGCAACGAGCGCAACCCUUAUCUCUAGUUGCCAUCAUUUAGUUGGGCACUCUAGCGAAACCGCCUCGGAUAACGGGGAGGAAGGUGGGGAUGACGUCAAGUCCUCAUGGCCUUUAUGUCCAGGGCUACACACGUGCUACAAUGGCCGGUACAAACCGCUGCAAACCCGUGAGGGGGAGCUAAUCGGAAAAAGCCGGCCUCAGUUCGGAUUGGAGUCUGCAACUCGACUCCAUGAAGCUGGAAUCGCUAGUAAUCGCAGAUCAGAACGCUGCGGUGAAUACGUUCCCGGGCCUUGUA